This is a small nuclear RNA of Adelges cooleyi (spruce gall adelgid), 192 nucleotides long. RefSeq annotates it as U2 spliceosomal RNA. Lineage: Eukaryota; Metazoa; Arthropoda; Insecta; Hemiptera; Adelgidae. The record is from RefSeq and is a predicted model, not a curated record. The transcript has a single exon.
AUCGCUUAUCGGAUAUUUUUAGCUUAGAUCAAGUGUAGUAUCUGUUCUUAUCAGCGUAACAUCUUAUACAUCUCACAUUGUGGGGUUCAAAUGUUAAAUUAAUUUUUUAAGUUGUUGGAGAUUUGGGGCUUGCUCCUACUCCAUUGCGGGUUGACCUGGUAUUGCAGUACCAUCGGGAUCAGCCCAUAUUAA